Molecule: small nuclear RNA, 115 nt
Organism: Hemibagrus wyckioides
Lineage: Eukaryota; Metazoa; Chordata; Actinopteri; Siluriformes; Bagridae
Product: U5 spliceosomal RNA
Exons: 1
Source: RefSeq, a predicted model, not a curated record
UAGCUCUGGUUUCUCUUAAGUCACGCAUAAUUCUUUCGCCUUUUACUAAAGACUUCCGUGGAGAGGAACAUCAAUGAGUUUGAUGUAUUUUUAUGAGCUUUGCUCGGGCAAAGCU